This is a long non-coding RNA of Xyrauchen texanus (razorback sucker), 150 nucleotides long. RefSeq lists it as uncharacterized. The record is from RefSeq and is a predicted model, not a curated record. Lineage: Eukaryota; Metazoa; Chordata; Actinopteri; Cypriniformes; Catostomidae. The transcript is spliced from 3 exons.
CGAAAUCAUCUCAAAGAACAAGCUGCUGGAUGACAAUCAGUCAGGCUUCAAAAGUGGACACUUCACCGAGACUGCCCUGCUGUCUGUAGGAACUGUGCUUGACUGGUUUAAUUAAUAUCUCUCAGCCCAACGGAACCACAGUGCCUGCUC